UAGGCCUACGGGGCGCAGCAGUGGGGAAUAUUGCACAAUGGGGGGAACCCUGAUGAAGCGACGCCGCGUGGGUGAAGAAGUCAUUCGUGACGUAAAGCCCUAUCAGCAGGGAAGAAAAUGACGGUACCUGACUAGGAAGCCCCGGCUAACUACGUGCCAGCAGCCGCGGUAAUACGUAGGGGGCAAGCGUUAUCCGGAUUUACUGGGUGUAAAGGGAGCGUAGACGGCGGCGCAAGUCCGGAGUGAGAGCCCACGGCCCAACCGUGGGACUGCUCUGGAAACUGUGCGGCUUGCGU
Molecule: ribosomal RNA, 296 nt
Filed under: uncultured bacterium
Lineage: Bacteria
Description: partial 16S ribosomal RNA
Rfam family: Bacterial small subunit ribosomal RNA
Source: RNAcentral